UAGCCAAGUGGUUAAGGCAAUGGAUCGCCAAUCCGGAGACGGCGGGUUCGAUUCCUGU
Non-coding RNA from Aedes albopictus (Asian tiger mosquito), 58 nucleotides. The record is from Rfam. Lineage: Eukaryota; Metazoa; Arthropoda; Insecta; Diptera; Culicidae.